This 1112-nucleotide ribosomal RNA is filed under the name Staphylococcus aureus. RNAcentral's name for it is "bacterial SSU rRNA". It matches the Rfam family "Bacterial small subunit ribosomal RNA", at positions 144 to 1242 of the family's 1533-position model. Lineage: Bacteria; Bacillati; Bacillota; Bacilli; Caryophanales; Staphylococcaceae. The record is from RNAcentral.
UAACUUCGGGAAACCGGAGCUAAUACCGGAUAAUAUUUUGAACCGCAUGGUUCAAAAGUGAAAGACGGUCUUGCUGUCACUUAUAGAUGGAUCCGCGCUGCAUUAGCUAGUUGGUAAGGUAACGGCUUACCAAGGCAACGAUGCAUAGCCGACCUGAGAGGGUGAUCGGCCACACUGGAACUGAGACACGGUCCAGACUCCUACGGGAGGCAGCAGUAGGGAAUCUUCCGCAAUGGGCGAAAGCCUGACGGAGCAACGCCGCGUGAGUGAUGAAGGUCUUCGGAUCGUAAAACUCUGUUAUUAGGGAAGAACAUAUGUGUAAGUAACUGUGCACAUCUUGACGGUACCUAAUCAGAAAGCCACGGCUAACUACGUGCCAGCAGCCGCGGUAAUACGUAGGUGGCAAGCGUUAUCCGGAAUUAUUGGGCGUAAAGCGCGCGUAGGCGGUUUUUUAAGUCUGAUGUGAAAGCCCACGGCUCAACCGUGGAGGGUCAUUGGAAACUGGAAAACUUGAGUGCAGAAGAGGAAAGUGGAAUUCCAUGUGUAGCGGUGAAAUGCGCAGAGAUAUGGAGGAACACCAGUGGCGAAGGCGACUUUCUGGUCUGUAACUGACGCUGAUGUGCGAAAGCGUGGGGAUCAAACAGGAUUAGAUACCCUGGUAGUCCACGCCGUAAACGAUGAGUGCUAAGUGUUAGGGGGUUUCCGCCCCUUAGUGCUGCAGCUAACGCAUUAAGCACUCCGCCUGGGGAGUACGACCGCAAGGUUGAAACUCAAAGGAAUUGACGGGGACCCGCACAAGCGGUGGAGCAUGUGGUUUAAUUCGAAGCAACGCGAAGAACCUUACCAAAUCUUGACAUCCUUUGACAACUCUAGAGAUAGAGCCUUCCCCUUCGGGGGACAAAGUGACAGGUGGUGCAUGGUUGUCGUCAGCUCGUGUCGUGAGAUGUUGGGUUAAGUCCCGCAACGAGCGCAACCCUUAAGCUUAGUUGCCAUCAUUAAGUUGGGCACUCUAAGUUGACUGCCGGUGACAAACCGGAGGAAGGUGGGGAUGACGUCAAAUCAUCAUGCCCCUUAUGAUUUGGGCUACACACGUGCUACAAUGGACAAUACAA